CCCAAUCCUACCAUGCUCAACCAGUUCUCACUGCACCGCCACAACCCCUACUCCUCAAGGGAUCAUCAUCCAAGACGAAGACCACCAUCAAGGUGCCAACCGGCACGAGGAUCCUUCCACCUAGACCCAAUGAGAGGGUCGUUGGAGUCAAGACCAACCGGAGCGGCGAGAUCAGCAGCAUUCGCUACACUACGGAGGAGAGACCUUACUUCGAAGGGAUUAGAGCAGCCAAAGUCCAUUUCAUCCCCCCAAAGGCAGCCCCGAAGCACGCUCUUAAUACUUUUGAGACACCUCCUAAGCGUCGCAAGACUAUAGUCGAUAUUGAUGAGGACGUUCGCAGGCUAGACAGAGUUAUCAUAGACCUCCAGUCCUCGAUUAAUUCCCUCACUAGGCAGAUCUCUAACCACAACACCAUUAUACUAGGCCUUAGACAUGAUCUUGCUAGUGCCAAUAAGAAGAUUAAGGAGUUAGAGCGCCGCUAAGUUAUCUAGAUUAGAUCUUGAGGCAAUGCAUCUCAGUUACUUAUCUUUAAAUUCGGUUUAGGUUUACUAUUAUCAUCAGUUUGUUACUAUUACUGUCAGUUUGCUACUAGUCUUUUGUAAUAAAUGCCUCAAGAUUAAUAAAGAAUAUUAUUAUUAUUAUGUCUUGUGUGUCUCCACUUUAUUCUUGUGCAAGAAAGCAGAAAAACAAGUAUGGGGGAGAUCCCUCGACAUACCAAACAUACUUCGACUACACCACUCCACGAUUUAGGUACACACUCUGCACACUUACUUUACACAUACAUAUAUCUUAGAUUAUGCAUAAUACUGUUUCCGACAUGAUAAAUUAAAAAGAUUAAAAUAUUUCUAAUCAUGAUUAAUCUCACUCUGUAAUAUUUCCUGAAACUUGCAAUUAUUGAAAAAUCAUUUUAAAAACCCUGUGUUACUUCAGUCAUUAUGGAAUAUGAGAUGGUAGAGUAUGAGUUUCUUAUUCUUGAUAUCAUUGUUGCUUGGAGAAUUUAUUCAAAAAUUCUAGCUACCAUCCUCAGUGUUUUAUAUGCCUACUAAAACUAAAAAUAUUAAUUAUGAUUGUAAAGGCUAUCUACUCUGUAUUGAGUUUGUUCAAAAUGAGUUAGACCCUUGUUGAGAGAUUUAUCAUGCUCCUAAGAUCAAGACAUUUAUUCAGAAAGAUUCACUCUUCCGAAGUAUUAUUGCAUUAGAGGCAUGGGCUAUGCAAAAAUAAAGAUAUUUCGAGGAAAUAAAAAGGAGCAAGUGCUCGAUAACCUCGCAGAAAAAAUGGACAAGUGUCCGGCAGUAGAAUUAGGGGUACCUCGGUAUCCACUUAAAAAAAAGAAGAGAAAAAAAGAAAGAAAAUGAUAGCCCAUGGUCCCUCUAAUAAGCAAUAUGCCAGCAAGAGUUGACAAAGAUUUUAAUUUUCAAAGUCCUUGAUCUAAGAGUAUGACAUUCCUCUCCUCGGAUCCCGCUUUGAUCAGGCAAUAGAUGCGAAGUAAGUAUGCUUAAGAAUUUUUGCAAAUUAAAACAGCCUCAGUGAGAUAUAUAAAAGAUAAAGAGUGAUUUCAGAGAACCUAUAUGAGGAUAAAAGGUAUGCUAACUUUCUUUCAAAAAUAUACAAAAAUUCCAAGUGACAGGAUUAAGAAUAAAGGAUCUUUACUCUUAACCAUAUACUUCCCUGACUAUGGUACACAGUGGAUUUUAAUACCCAGCAAAUAUGAAGAGAAUAUUUUAAAAUGUUUUACCCCAGAUAUUGUUCUUAACCAUCCUUUUCUCGAGGACGAGUAAAAGCCUAAGUAUGGGGGUAUUUGUUGACGGUUCUUAAGUAUCAAUUUUAAUUAUCAAAUAAACAAGAGAAAGGACCAAUAUACAAACAACACCUAGAAUUAGGGUUUGAUCUGACAGAAUUCCACGAGUUUUGUUGUUUAUCUGUUUCUACAGGGGGUUAUUAGGAAAUAAGGAAGAAAGGCCCCACAUGUCGGGAUUACAUAGAGAUAUCAACGCACCGCGCAAUUUUCUACCAUCUAGAAGACUCCAGAAGCCACGGGAAGGAAGCAGAGGCCGAACGGGGCCAGGCACUGGGCGCCCGCCCAGUUGACCUGGGCGCCCGCCCCCCUCUAGACUUGGUUCGGGACUCUUUUCGCACAUGAUGCUCCACCGACCUAAAGGAUCAAGGAUAACCGUCCAAUCAAUGUCGGUUUGAUCCAAUGGCUCACGUUUACUUGAAGAGACUAUAAAACCAGGCCCCCUGGCCCCUGGAGGAGACAAGUUUAUCAUAGAGUUGAGGGGAGCCCUCGAAGGAAAACCUCUUCUCUAAAUAAAAUUUCUUUUUAGGCUUAGCAACCAAUGUGAGUAGAAAUAUAUCUUCUAGUUUCUACUAGAUUGAGAGAGAUAGAGUGGAGGUGUAGAUUGGAGGAAGCCCGGCCUGUCAGUGUCUACUCCAAGUUUGUACCUGCGGGAUCAAGUUCUCCUAACCCAAAGCUUGCUCCUAGGAUUCUUCAGUAUUUCGACUUCUAAAUUCUAGUAAGUUCUUGUUUUAUUGUUCUUUUGGUUUAUGAGUUUACUUUAAUCUCUUCGCGUAGAGUUUAGAGUAAUCAUUGCUAGCGUAAACGUGGUGUUUAGGCUAGGGUACUCAUAGAUAUUCCCUGACUAGCUGGACCGUGGUAGUAGCGAGGAACCUGACAUUUUCGAGUUACCUUUGAAGACCAUAUCUCGUUAGCAGGAAAGAUAGGGUUUAUAGGUGCGGGUUGAACAUCCUCUGUGGUGUCUAGAUUCCGUUAGCCUCCCCAAUAAAACAGUAGAUCAUCCUUACCAAGGUUAGAAAGAGACUACGGUUGCAGUCUUCUCUGUUUAUCACUCACAUCGAGAAACAUUCUUUGUUGCCUAAAGGGUUAGUAGUAAUAGACCGGGUUAGUCAGAUGCACUCUUUCUCCUAGUGGUAAAAAAAUAAAUACGAUACUCUGGAUAACCUCCCGGGUGAAGUGCUCACCGAUAUCCGUGUGCUUGCGGAUCAAUUCCUUAUUGCGUUCCCAAAUAUCAACAUUGAUCAGCUGAAGCACAAGAAAAAACACGAACACUCCAUACUCCUUGGUAUGAGCAGAUUAACACGACAACGUAGCGACCAUGUUAUUAUGUUUUGUCCAUCUUGUGCUAACCAAAUGGAGACUUCCAACGGGGAGGGGGAGUGGACAUAGCACGGCUUGCCACCUAGCUCACAUAGAACGUAUCAUCAUGCAUGCUAAAUCGAAGGAUAACACCUAUGGCAAGCUUGUCGUGGUCAGCGUCAACCAUGGACUAGACUGCACUCCAAUAGAAGAAUCCUAGCAAGCAAACAGGAGUUCUAGCCUUGAUAGGGUAAGGUGGAUCAAUGGUGGCUUUCCACUCCAACGUCUCUCUGGCAUCGCCAAGCGUCAAGACCUCAUGUCCAACUUCGUAUUCUGUAUAUAUUUGUCCUUCACUGUAUGAGCGCAAGAAGUGCCUAGCCACCUUAUAUGUACCACUGCAAGGAUCAAAGCUAAAGGCGACCCUUUGGUCCAACAACACAUUCUGGGUGCCCCGCGGCAACUCGACAAACUCCUUGGUGGUCGGGUUGCACACAAAUAUGUGCCCUGUGAUGCUGGGGAUCAGAACCAAUCCGUUGUAGUGCAGGGGGAUGGUGAAUCGUGGGAUGCCAUUGGGACAAGGUUCGUUCCUGAAAAUGAGCUUGGCGACCUUGCUCUAUGCUGCAGGCUAGAAGCUAACGCCUCGCACGUUUGGCUGCCUUUGAGAUUGGGAACUAUUCUAGCUAAUCUAUAUCUAUACAAAUAAGCCUACCAAUCUAGCUAGAACAGUUCCGGGGCAGCUAUUCUAGAUUAGCCCCAUUCGUUUUUACAGGAACAAUUCCUAGCCACACAAUCCAUUCACAGAUUUGUACUAACCAGAAAUUAUUCCAUGCCGUUCCUAGCCUAUUCCGAUGUAAACGAACAGGGCCUACAUGGGUUUCGGCUGGUACUUCUGGGUGACUAGGAACAUGGAUGAUGAUGGUACUUCUGGGUGACUAGGACCAUUGUUGGGUAUUCUUAACAUCAUUACCAAAAGUAGACUAAGUUCUCUAAAUCUAGUAACGGUACCAAAAAUGCCAAACCUAUCCCUCACACCACUUAAGCCAAGUUGUCAUCCCCAGCAUGACAUGAGAGACGUGGUAUUGAAAUAUGCAAUUGCUCUUCUAAAUAAAUAAUGAAUGGGAUCUGCAAGCGCACAGAUUAAUACCGAUGCAGCAUUUUAACCGGGAAGUAUUCCAGGUAUCGUUAUUUAUAUUUUUACCACUGGGAAGAGAUUAGCAAUCAUCAAUAUUGAUUACAGAAUAGAAUAUGAGAUUGAGUAUCUAUCAUUGCAUAUGUAAUUGAGAACAUUUAACUAACUCUUCAUAUAGGGAUAAGUGUCACAUAAAAGAUGUAUGAAAUAAUAAAUAGUGACAAGGAUAAUUAAUCUGAUCUAGCCACAUAAUAAAUAUGAUAAGCACCUCAAUUAGAUACUCUAGAAAGUCAUUAGCAUGGAAUUAGAACGAACUACAAGAAUAUUCCCUAAGUUAUUCUCAACUAUAUAGUCUAGCAUUAUCAUAGUUAGUGCAAGCAUACUUAGCAAUCAUUGUGAGACAAGACUACGCCCAUGCAUAGUGAUAUUAGCAAGGUAAAUGAGAAACAUAGCAAUCACUCCCCUGUAAUAAUGUUGCUCUGCCAGCCCAAUACACGAGAGGGGGACUAUAUAAGAAUCAAUGAAGCUGUCACUAUCACGAACUACCCCACGAUCUGGCAUAUUGGGUACAAUCGCAGAUAAAUACGGUAUAAGCACCACGCCUACACAAUAUCUAUCAUUUACCCAUGGAUCCGAUGGAUAAACGCUAUACGAUCCUAAGCAUGUAUAUAGAUCCAAUCUAACUAAGCCAAGUACAUAACUAUGAUAAACUAAGAACAAUAUAAUCUUGAAUAUAAGCAAGUAGAGCAAAGUCAUAAGCAAUAUAUUGAAGUAGAACAAAGUCAUAUUCAUAAUAUUGAAGAACAAAGAUAAUUAGAAGAACAAUUAGAAGCACAAUUAGAGAAUUACCAAGAAUCCUCUUGACAGAUCCGGAAACCAAUCGAAGAUUGACUCCUUCUAGUUCUAAUCCUAUGUAGCUAUGCUAAUCUAGAUAUCUAAUUGAUGUGGUGGCUCUAAUCUUGAUCAGAGGCUUCUUCUCCCUUGAGGAAUAAGAAUUAGGGUUUAGAGGCUCUCUCCUCCAGGGGCCAGGGGGUCUGGUUUUAUAGUCCCUUCAAGUGAAUAUGGGCCGUUGGAUCAAACCGACAUAGAUUGUAUGGUUUAGAUUCAUCCUUUAGGUCGGUGGAGAUCUCCCACGAAGCAGAGUCCUGAUUGGACUCAGGGAGGGGGCGGGCACCCAGGGGAACAGGGCGGGCGCCCUGCCACUGGCCCCGUUUCGUCUCCGCUUCGGUCUCGUGGCUUCUGGAGUCUUCUAGAUGUAAGAUAAUUGUGCGAUACGUUAAUAUCUCUUUGUAAUCCCGACGUGUGGGCCUUUCUUCCGUAUUUCCUCAUAACCCCCUGUAGAAAUAGACAAACACCAAAACUCGUGGAAUUCUGUC
Molecule: long non-coding RNA, 5599 nt
Filed under: Sorghum bicolor (sorghum)
Lineage: Eukaryota; Viridiplantae; Streptophyta; Magnoliopsida; Poales; Poaceae
Description: long non-coding RNA (SBIC_LNC004304)
Source: RNAcentral